This 66-nucleotide transfer RNA is filed under the name Ganisa cyanogrisea. RNAcentral describes it as "tRNA-Thr". It matches the Rfam family "tRNA". From Rfam's summary of the family: Transfer RNA (tRNA) molecules are approximately 80 nucleotides in length. The record is from RNAcentral. Lineage: Eukaryota; Metazoa; Arthropoda; Insecta; Lepidoptera; Eupterotidae.
GUUUUUAUAAUUUAAUUAAAAAUAUUGGUCUUGUAAAUCAAAAAUAAGCUCAAAGCUUUAAAAACU